GUUUAAAUCACAUGUUCUAAAAUAGAGCUAAGAAUUGUUCGUAUUGUAUUAAAUUUUAGUCUUUGAAAUUUUAUUCAAAUACGCUAUUGAACAUUACUAAGAGCCAAUAAAUACAAUAAUUUUGUAUUUUAUAAAUUAGUGCCUUCAAUAAAUAAAAGCCGUCAUAGAACAGUCUCAUUUUCAUACCGAUAUUCGAAAUGACUCGUUUCAUUGCUAUUACAACAAAUAUGUCAUAAUAACAUGACAGAGAGUUUUGUUUCGGAAUAUUCUAGAUAAAUAUAAAAAGCAAAUUUUAGACAUUGUACCCUCCUAAGCCUGGACGUGGCUAGUCACAUAUAGUUAACGGCGUUUUUCUCACAAUGACGUUCUACCUCCAUAAGCCUGGAUAUGUCGUGGCUAGUCACAUAUGAUGUAUUAUAU
RNAcentral lists this long non-coding RNA (420 nucleotides) under Mytilus galloprovincialis (Mediterranean mussel). Lineage: Eukaryota; Metazoa; Mollusca; Bivalvia; Mytilida; Mytilidae. The record is from RNAcentral.